GUCCCUUCGGGGACAUCCAAUAAAAUUAGAACAAUAUAAAAAAGAUUAGUAUGACCCCUACAAAAGAAUGACACGCACAAAUCGAAAAAUGAUCCAAGUAGAA
RNAcentral lists this small nuclear RNA (103 nucleotides) under Solanum tuberosum (potato). The record is from RNAcentral. Lineage: Eukaryota; Viridiplantae; Streptophyta; Magnoliopsida; Solanales; Solanaceae.